UUCGUACUUUUUCACUUUUCCUUUGGAAACAAUAAAAGCGCGGUGGUGACUCUUGUUUUAUUGAUGUUGAGCUAACCAAUAACUCAGUGGCCACGAAUUUACCGCUAUAGAAAAAAAUGGCGACUCUGCUGGGGAGUAGUCCUUAGUGGGUUUAGCCUACUUUUUGUGUGUACUGUAUUUGUUGAUUAUUUGAUGUUUGUUUGUUUGUGUAUAUUGUUUGUA
This 222-nucleotide long non-coding RNA is filed under the name Lathyrus oleraceus (garden pea). RNAcentral's name for it is "Pisum sativum (pea) long non-coding RNA (PSAT_LNC019061)". The record is from RNAcentral. Lineage: Eukaryota; Viridiplantae; Streptophyta; Magnoliopsida; Fabales; Fabaceae.